AUAUCUCUCUGUACGGGAAGGAUGAGAAGCUUCGACUAAGGUUCUAUUCGAGCGUCAGCGAGAAAGCGUUGCCGCAGGCAACGACCCGAAGGGCGAAGCGCGCAGCGCUGAGUCAUCCUUCCCCCACCACCA
RNAcentral lists this small RNA (132 nucleotides) under Salmonella enterica. RNAcentral describes it as "RtT sRNA". It matches the Rfam family "RtT RNA". From Rfam's summary of the family: This family represents a bacterial cis-regulatory element known as RtT RNA. The exact function of RtT is unknown although it is thought that it may be involved in changing the cellular response in relation to amino acid starvation. Lineage: Bacteria; Pseudomonadati; Pseudomonadota; Gammaproteobacteria; Enterobacterales; Enterobacteriaceae. The record is from RNAcentral.